CACACACACACACACACACACACACACACACACACACACACUAGAGAACAACAAUUUCACAGUCUGGCUAUGGUUGUACCUGUGCAUACUGCUCUGAUAGUCCACUCUCCCUUUUCAUUGCAUGUAGUUACUGCUGAUUCCUGAUUGUUAGAAAUCCCGUACUUCUCUCCACAAAUGACUUUCAGUGUCUCACCAGGU
Etheostoma cragini (Arkansas darter) is the source of this 198-nucleotide long non-coding RNA. RefSeq lists it as uncharacterized. The transcript is spliced from 2 exons. NCBI's taxonomy places the organism in Eukaryota, Metazoa, Chordata, Actinopteri, Perciformes, Percidae. The record is from RefSeq and is a predicted model, not a curated record.